This 240-nucleotide unclassified non-coding RNA is filed under the name soil metagenome. RNAcentral's name for it is "partial contains 5.8S ribosomal RNA, internal transcribed spacer 2, and large subunit ribosomal RNA". The record is from RNAcentral.
AACGCACGAGACCUGCGGACCUGCGGAAGGAUCAUUACCGAGUGUUACAGCUCCCAAACCCACUGUGAACGUACCCAUCGUUGCUUCGGCGGGACCGCCCCGGCGCCUCCGCGCGCCGGGCACGGGCGCCCGCCGGGGGCCCGAAACUCUUGCCUCCUCGCGUGGAUUCUCUGAGUGGCACGAAAAGGGAAAAUGAAUCAAAACUUUUAACAACGGAUCUCUAGAUCGGAAGAGCACACG